Molecule: non-coding RNA, 26 nt
Filed under: Homo sapiens (human)
Lineage: Eukaryota; Metazoa; Chordata; Mammalia; Primates; Hominidae
Source: RNAcentral
AGCAUCAGCAAACCUUGCUAAGUGAC